This 405-nucleotide unclassified non-coding RNA is filed under the name soil metagenome. RNAcentral describes it as "partial contains 5.8S ribosomal RNA, internal transcribed spacer 2, and large subunit ribosomal RNA". The stretch from base 1 to 121 matches the Rfam family "5.8S ribosomal RNA", at positions 35 to 154 of the family's 154-position model. The record is from RNAcentral.
GAUGAAGAACGUAGCGAAAUGCGAUAAGUAAUGUGAAUUGCAGAAUUCAGCGAAUCAUCGAAUCUUUGAACGCACCUUGCGCCCUUUGGCUAUUCCAGAGGGCAUGCCUGUUUGAGUAUCAUGAACACCUCAACUCUCAUGGUUCUGCCAUGAUGAGCUUGGACUUUGGAGGUCUUGCUGGCCCCUGUGGUCAGCUCCUCUCAAAUGGAUCAGCUUGCCAGUGUUUGGUGGCAUCACAGGUGUGAUAACUAUCUACGCUUGUGGUUUUCCACCAGGUAACCUUCAGUGAUGGAGGUUCGCUGGAGCUCAUAAACGUCUCUCCUCAGCGAGGACAGCUUCUUGAAUGUUUGAUCUCAAAUCAGGUAGGGCUACCCGCUGAACUUAAGCAUAUCAAUAAGCGGAGGA